RNAcentral lists this ribosomal RNA (571 nucleotides) under uncultured bacterium. RNAcentral's name for it is "bacterial SSU rRNA". It matches the Rfam family "Bacterial small subunit ribosomal RNA", at positions 333 to 918 of the family's 1533-position model. The record is from RNAcentral.
AGAUUCCUACGGGAGGCAGCAGUGAGGAAUUUUCCGCAAUGGGCGAGAGCCUGACGGAGCAAUGCCGCGUGGAGGAUGAAGGCCCGUGGGUUGUAAACUCCUUUUCUCAGAGAAGAAGCCCUGACGGUAUCUGAGGAAUAAGCAUCGGCUAACUCCGUGCCAGCAGCCGCGGUAAUACGGAGGAUGCAAGCGUUAUCCGGAAUCAUUGGGCGUAAAGGGUCCUGAGGUGGCCUGCCCAGUCUACUGUGAAAGAUCAGGGCUCAACCCUGAAGAUGCGGUAGAAACUAGCAGGCUAGGAUACGGUAGGGGCAGGGGGAAUUCCCGGUGUAGCGGUGAAAUGCAUAGAUAUCGGGAGGAACACCAAAGGCGAAGGCACCCUGCUGGGCCGAUAUUGACACUGACAGACGAGAGCUAGGGGAGCGAAUGGGAUUAGAUACCCCAGUAGUCCUAGCCGUAAACGAUGGAUACUAAGUGCUGAACGACUCAAAACGGGCAGUGCUGCAGCUAACGCGCUAAGUAUCCCGCCUGGGGAGUAUGCCCGCAAGGGUGAAACUCAAAUGAAUUGACGGGG